AGUGGCGGACGGGUGAGUAACGCGUGGGCAACCUGCCCUGUACAGGGGGAUAACACUUAGAAAUAGGUGCUAAAACCGCAUAAGCGCACAGCUUCGCAUGAAGAAGUGUGAAAAACUCCGGUGGUACAGGAUGGACCCGCGUCUGAUUAGCUUGUUGGAGGGGUAACGGCCCACCAAGGCGACGAUCAGUAGCCGGCCUGAGAGGGUGAACGGCCACAUUGGGACUGAGACACGGCCCAAACUCCUACGGGAGGCAGCAGUGGGGAAUAUUGCACAAUGGGGGAAACCCUGAUGCAGCGACGCCGCGUGAGUGAAGAAGUAUUUCGGUAUGUAAAGCUCUAUCAGCAGGGAAGAAAAUGACGGUACCUGACUAAGAAGCCCCGGCUAACUACGUGCCAGCAGCCGCGGUAAUACGUAGGGGGCAAGCGUUAUCCGGAUUUACUGGGUGUAAAGGGAGCGUAGACGGUGAUGCAAGUCUGAUGUGAAAGCCCGGGGCUCAACCGCGGGACUGCAUUGGAAACUGUAUGACUGGAGUGCAGGAGAGGUAAGUGGAAUUCCUAGUGUAGCGGUGAAAUGCGUAGAUAUUAGGAGGAACACCAGUGGCGAAGGCGGCUUACUGGACUGUAACUGACGUUGAGGCUCGAAAGCGUGGGGAGCAAACAGGAUUAGAUACCCUGGUAGUCCACGCCGUAAACGAUGAACACUA
Molecule: ribosomal RNA, 706 nt
Filed under: uncultured bacterium
Lineage: Bacteria
Description: bacterial SSU rRNA
Rfam family: Bacterial small subunit ribosomal RNA
Source: RNAcentral